Molecule: ribosomal RNA, 486 nt
Filed under: uncultured Glomus
Lineage: Eukaryota; Fungi; Glomeromycota; Glomeromycetes; Glomerales; Glomeraceae
Description: SSU rRNA
Rfam family: Eukaryotic small subunit ribosomal RNA
Source: RNAcentral
AGGGCAAGUCUGGUGCCAGCAGCCGCGGUAAUUCCAGCUCCAAUAGCGUAUAUUAAAGUUGCUGCAGUUAAAAAGCUCGUAGUUGAAUUUCGGGACCAAUAUGUCGGUCGUGCUUCGGUACGUACUGUCAUUAUUGGUUUCUCCCUUCUGAAGAACCUUGAUGUCAUUAAUUUGGUGUCUUGGGGAAUCAGGACUGUUACUUUGAAAAAAUUAGAGUGUUUAAAGCAGGCUCGCGCUUGAAUACAUUAGCAUGGAAUAAUGAAAUAGGACGUUUGAUUCUAUUUUGUUGGUUUCUAGGAUCGACGUAAUGAUUAAUAGGGAUAGUUGGGGGCAUUAGUAUUCAAUUGUCAGAGGUGAAAUUCUUGGAUUUAUUGAAGACUAACUACUGCGAAAGCAUUUGCCAAGGAUGUUUUCAUUAAUCAAGAAAGAAAGUUAGGGGAUCGAAGACGAUCAGAUACCGUCGUAGUCUUAACCAUAAACUAUGCC